RNAcentral lists this ribosomal RNA (422 nucleotides) under uncultured bacterium. RNAcentral describes it as "bacterial SSU rRNA". It matches the Rfam family "Bacterial small subunit ribosomal RNA", at positions 362 to 775 of the family's 1533-position model. The record is from RNAcentral.
UCUUCCGCAAUGGACGAAAGUCUGACGGAGCAACGCCGCGUGAGUGAUGAAGGUUUUCGGAUCGUAAAACUCUGUUGUUAGGGAAGAANAAGUACCGUUCGAAUAGGGUGGCACCUUGACGGUACCUAACCAGAAAGCCACGGCUAACUACGUGCCAGCAGCCGCGGUAAUACGUAGGUGGCAAGGUUUUGCCGGAAUUAUUGGGCGUAAAGCGCGCGCAGGCGGUUUUUUAAGUCUGAUGUGAAAGCCCCCGGCUCCACCGGGGAGGGUCAUUGGAAACUGGGGAACUUGAGUGCAGAAGAGGAGAGUGGAAUUCCACGUGUAGCGGUGAAAUGCGUAGAGAUGUGGAGGAACACCAGUGGCGAAGGCGACUCUCUGGUCUGUAACUGACGCUGAGGCGCGAAAGCGUGGGGAGCGAACAG